UACGGAGGAUGCAAGCGUUAUCCGGAAUGAUUGGGCGUAAAGCGUCCGCAGGUGGCAAUGUAAGUCUGCUGUCAAAGCGUCUGGCUCAACCAGAUAAAGGCAGUGGAAACUACAUAGCUAGAGUAAGGUAGGGGUAGAGGGAAUUCCUGGUGUAGCGGUGAAAUGCGUAGAGAUCAGGAAGAACAUCGGUGGCGAAAGCGCUCUACUGGACCGCAACUGACACUCAGGGACGAAAGCUAGGGGAGCGAAUGGG
Molecule: ribosomal RNA, 253 nt
Filed under: uncultured bacterium
Lineage: Bacteria
Description: partial 16S ribosomal RNA
Rfam family: Bacterial small subunit ribosomal RNA
Source: RNAcentral